Molecule: long non-coding RNA, 521 nt
Filed under: Bos taurus (domestic cattle)
Lineage: Eukaryota; Metazoa; Chordata; Mammalia; Artiodactyla; Bovidae
Description: long non-coding RNA NONBTAT019111
Source: RNAcentral
CCUUUACUGUUUUAACACAAACAAGUAUAGCUUUUUAUUUCAGAUAUGAAAAAUUAAAAUACAUUUUAAAAGGAUCCCAUUUGUAGUUGGGUUGAAAUUUAUUAAAAGUAAGUGUUUCAUUUUGUCUUAAAUGUAUAGACUUAAGAUCAUAUGCUUUUUUUGACCCAUUAAUAUGUUAAUAUAUUUCAGUAUAUUAAAAGUAGUGUUGUGUUCCUAGGUGUAUUAUUACUGUUACACUUGAUGUGAAAGAUUCUUUUAGUGUCUUACUGAAUCCUUUGAAAAAGAGAAACUAUGUAUUUUUAUUCCUUGAAGUAUUAUACAUUCUGUGUGAAAAUUUAGGAAAUAUAAUUAAAUACAAAAAUAUAAGGAGGUUACAAAGAUUUAUCAUGGUCCCAUCUUUUGAAGACAUCUGCCCUUCAGAGUUAAUAUAUUCUUCCAUUUACACUGUCUAGAGCUGGCACUUUCAGAAGGAGGGCUCUUGCCCAGCCUUGUCACUUAAAAAGUUUCAAUUCUGGUUAUAU